CAUUACUGAAUUCAUGGGGUGUUGUCGCUGGCUCUUCGGAGCAUGUGCACGCACUUCAAAUUCAUCUUUACCACCUGUGCACUUUUGUAGACUGUGAUAACUCUCAAUGGUUUUUCCGUUGGAUUGAAGGACUUGCGUUUAGCUGUCUUUCAACUUCACAGUCUAUGUCUCAUCUACUAUAAAAAGUCUAGAAUGUAACUUGUGGGUCUUUUGACCUAUAAAACUUAUACAACUUUCAACAACGGAUCUCUUGGCUCUCGCAUCGAUGAAGAACGCAGCGAAAUGCGAUAAGUAAUGUGAAUUGCAGAAUUCAGUGAAUCAUCGAAUCUUUGAACGCACCUUGCACUCCUUGGUAUUCCGAGGAGUAUGCCUGUUUGAGUGUCAUUAAAUUCUCAAACCUCUUUGACUUUAUUGACAAAGAGGCUUUGGAUGUGGGAGUUGCUGGCUUUUACGAGUCAGCUCUCCUUAAAUGCAUUAGUGGUUACUGUUCUCCACUUCCUGGUGUGAUAAUAUCUACGCCUAGUGGAGAUGUUAAGUGUAGCUGCUUUCUAACCGUCCAUGCAAUGUGGACAACUUGAACCAUUUG
RNAcentral lists this ribosomal RNA (586 nucleotides) under uncultured fungus. RNAcentral's name for it is "eukaryotic LSU rRNA". The stretch from base 231 to 384 matches the Rfam family "5.8S ribosomal RNA". The record is from RNAcentral. Lineage: Eukaryota; Fungi.